RNAcentral lists this ribosomal RNA (497 nucleotides) under uncultured bacterium. RNAcentral describes it as "partial 16S ribosomal RNA". It matches the Rfam family "Bacterial small subunit ribosomal RNA", at positions 28 to 507 of the family's 1533-position model. The record is from RNAcentral.
GACGAACGCUGGCGGCGUGCCUAAUACAUGCAAGUCGAACGCUGAAGAGAGGAGCUUGCUCUUCUAGGAUGAGUUGCGAACGGGUGAGUAACGCGUAGGUAACCUGCCUUGUAGCGGGGGAUAACUAUUGGAAACGAUAGCUAAUACCGCAUAACAAUGGAUGACACAUGUCAUUUAUUUGAAAGGGGCAAUUGCUCCACUACAAGAUGGACCUGCGUUGUAUUAGCUAGUAGGUGAGGUAAUGGCUCACCUAGGCGACGAUACAUAGCCGACCUGAGAGGGUGAUCGGCCACACUGGGACUGAGACACGGCCCAGACUCCUACGGGAGGCAGCAGUAGGGAAUCUUCGGCAAUGGGGGCAACCCUGACCGAGCAACGCCGCGUGAGUGAAGAAGAUUUUCGGAUCGUAAAGCUCUGUUGUAAGUCAAGAACGGGUGUGAGAGUGGAAAGUUCACACUGUGACGGUAGCUUACCAGAAAGGGACGGCUAACUACGUG